UGAGGAAUAUUGGUCAAUGGGCGCAAGCCUGAACCAGCCAUCCCGCGUGCAGGAAGACGGCCCUAUGGGUUGUAAACUGCUUUUCCAGGGGGAGAAUUUUUCUGUCGUGACAGGAAUUGACGGUACCCUGGGAAUAAGCAUCGGCUAACUCCGUGCCAACAGCCGCGGUACUACGGAGGAUGCGAGCGUUAUCCGGAGUUAUUGGGUUUAAAGGGUGCGUAGGCGGAUAGAUAAGUCAGUGGUGAAAACCUGCAGCUUAA
Molecule: ribosomal RNA, 260 nt
Filed under: uncultured prokaryote
Description: partial 16S ribosomal RNA
Rfam family: Bacterial small subunit ribosomal RNA
Source: RNAcentral